GUCUGCAACUCGACUGNACGAAGUCGGAAUUGCUAGUAAUCGCGGAUCAGCAUGCCGCGGUGAAUACGUUCCCGGGCCUUGUACACACCGCCCGUCACACCAUGAGAGUCGGGAACACCCGAAGUCCGUAGUCUAACCGCAAGGAGGACGCGGCCGAAGGUGGGCUUGAUAAUUGGGGUGAAGUCGUAACAAGGUAUC
Molecule: ribosomal RNA, 198 nt
Filed under: uncultured bacterium
Lineage: Bacteria
Description: partial 16S ribosomal RNA
Rfam family: Bacterial small subunit ribosomal RNA
Source: RNAcentral